GAAUGAUAUAAUAUUGCAGUUUUACACUUUGGAGUCAUUAUUUGACAUAUAGUAAAGCAGGUGUUAUGUAGGUACGGUGUGAUGGAAAGUAUAGAAACCCACUGUCCUGUACAAGGUGUGGGUUAAAGUGGCAUGUGUGUAUUUGUACAGCUGGUGUCUGAAUUAUUCGUAGACCGGAGAAAAGCUCCCCUGAAAACCACAGCUGUGAUUCUGUAAGUGUAAUACUACUAAUAGUAAGUACUUCUGGGAACAUCUCUUUGCAUCCUUUAAACAUUAGUUUAAAACAAAAAAAGGAUCUGAAUGUUUUUGGAUGCAAUCAUCUACCACGUGGCUUUGUACUGUUGUGUUUGUGAGCUUAAUAAAUAACUAAGAGUGAAACAAACUUUCUCAUUUUUAUCCAUUUAGGUUCCCUUUAUUUGAGUUUGAAAAAUGAAAAUCAGGGAUUUUAUGAGAAACAGACUCCAAAUCAGUACUGCAUGUCCUAUUUUAUUAAACUUAUAUUCUUCUUUAUAUUAUAUUCUUCUUUUUCUAGGUGAGGUUUUUUUAUUUUGUUGUAUUUAGCAGGUGUUGAGAAAAAACUCCUCUGGAAUUGUGUAAAAGUAAAAGUUUAAACAUUUUAACAUUUAAAAUGUUAAAAUGUUCAAUGUUCACCUUAAAAAAGGUGAACAUUGAACAUUUUAACAUUUUAAGGCCAAAUAUAGGGUAACGUGCUUGUCCAUCCCAUAAUAUCACCGAUGAGAGCGGGAUUUGUUUUGUUUCAACCGGACGCGGAUUGGCCCAUCUAUACACCCAUACAUGUAUGUACCUUGCUUACAUAAACACCACAGAAGAAGACGUAUCCUAAAGAACCCAUUUUAAUAAUGUGGACUGGAGCGACCAUGAACCGUUCCCCGCCAGUCCUCAUCACUCAUCCCGCAGUUUCCUCCCGCACAUUCUGCAGAAGACGCUCCAUGGGCCAUGGAUGUGUACUAUAUGGUGUACGUUGUAUUAUCUUUAGUUCUAGAAGUCUCUUCCUCUGUAUUUCUUUCUCCCUGCCAACCCAUCCAACCCCGAGGCUGACAUAACUAGUUUUCAUAAUGGACCUCAAGAGGCUCCCACUUGGAGGAGCCUUGGUAAUGUCACCGUCACAUUGUUUAUUUUUGGGCCUUGAGAUCAAGGGCAUGGGGGGCUUGGUGUUGGAGGGGCGCUCUCACCUUCACAUUUCACAAGCACUAAUUGCCCUAUGAAUUAUUAACCUUAAUGGAACGAUGAUGACAGGUUGCCUUGUCUUUUGCGUUCUAAGAUCUUAAUAAACUCCUUAAAAAAAGUAAGCA
This 1313-nucleotide long non-coding RNA is filed under the name Betta splendens (Siamese fighting fish). RNAcentral's name for it is "lncRNA (ENSBSLG00000009597.1)". Lineage: Eukaryota; Metazoa; Chordata; Actinopteri; Anabantiformes; Osphronemidae. The record is from RNAcentral.